GACGAACGCUGGCGGCGUGCUUAACACAUGCAAGUCGAACGGAAAGGCCCGGCUUUUGUUGUGGGUUCGAGUGGCGAACGGGGGAGUAACACGUGUGUAACCUGCCCGUGACUUUGGGAUAUCGUCAGUAAACUGGGGCUAAUACCGGUUAUGAGCGCUUGCUGCAUGGUGUGGGUUGGGAAGUGUCGGCGGUUGGGGAUGUACUCGCGGCUUAGCAGCUUGCUGGUGGGGUAGUGGGUUACCAAGGCUUUGACGGGUAGCCGGCCUGAGAGGGGGACCGGCCACAUUGGGAAUACGAUAAGGCCCAGAAGCCUACGGGAAGCAGCAGUGGGGAGUAUUGCCCAAUGGCCGGGAGCCUGAUGCAGCAACGCCGCGUGCGGGAUGACGGCCUUCGGGUUGUAAACCGCUUUCGACUGUGACGAAGCGGGAGUGACGGUAAUGGGUAAAGAAGCACCGGCUAACUACGUG
Molecule: ribosomal RNA, 468 nt
Filed under: uncultured bacterium
Lineage: Bacteria
Description: partial 16S ribosomal RNA
Rfam family: Bacterial small subunit ribosomal RNA
Source: RNAcentral